Molecule: long non-coding RNA, 305 nt
Organism: Thalassophryne amazonica
Lineage: Eukaryota; Metazoa; Chordata; Actinopteri; Batrachoidiformes; Batrachoididae
Exons: 3
Source: RefSeq, a predicted model, not a curated record
CAAAAUUAGUGUGCUAUUGCAGAUUUUAUCAUACCAUCGACUGUUUAUUUUGCUUCCUUUUUAGCUUCUUCCGUGAUGGGUUCAUGCUUCUCUUAGGAUACAUCAUAUGAACAUAGUGGUGCAACACGCCGCCCUCCAUGAGGGGGCCUGUUCUCUUGCAGACAUGAUGAGCUCAUUCCAAGCUCACAAAAACAUUGAUUUGUUGUUGCAGGUGAUUAUUCAUGAAUAAUCCGACACACUAUUUGCAGUGAGUGGAAAGAAUAUGCACAGAGGUAACACAGUUGUGCUGGAUGACGUGUUGCCUG